This 569-nucleotide ribosomal RNA is filed under the name bacterium enrichment culture clone 11-1. RNAcentral describes it as "bacterial SSU rRNA". It matches the Rfam family "Bacterial small subunit ribosomal RNA", at positions 338 to 917 of the family's 1533-position model. The record is from RNAcentral.
UCUACGGGAGGCAGCAGUGGGGAAUAUUGCACAAUGGGCGGAAGCCUGAUGCAGCAACGCCGCGUGCGGGAUGACGGCCUUCGGGUUGUAAACCGCUUUCGCCUGUGACGAAGCGUGAGUGACGGUAAUGGGUAAAGAAGCACCGGCUAACUACGUGCCAGCAGCCGCGGUGAUACGUAGGGUGCGAGCGUUGUCCGGAUUUAUUGGGCGUAAAGGGCUCGUAGGUGGUUGAUCGCGUCGGAAGUGUAAUCUUGGGGCUUAACCCUGAGCGUGCUUUCGAUACGGGUUGACUUGAGGAAGGUAGGGGAGAAUGGAAUUCCUGGUGGAGCGGUGGAAUGCGCAGAUAUCAGGAGGAACACCAGUGGCGAAGGCGGUUCUCUGGGCCUUUCCUGACGCUGAGGAGCGAAAGCGUGGGGAGCGAACAGGCUUAGAUACCCUGGUAGUCCACGCUGUAAACGGUGGGUACUAGGUGUGGGGUCCAUUCCACGGGUUCCGUGCCGUAGCUAACGCUUUAAGUACCCCGCCUGGGGAGUACGGCCGCAAGGCUAAAACUCAAAGGAAUUGACGGA